GACGAACGCUGGCGGCGUGCUUAACACAUGCAAGUCGAACGGUAAGGCCCUUCGGGGUACACGAGUGGCGAACGGGUGAGUAACACGUGGGUGAUCUGCCCUGCACUUCGGGAUAAGCCUGGGAAACUGGGUCUAAUACCGGAUAGGACUCCGGACUGCAUGGUCUGGGGAGGAAAGCUUUUGCGGUGUGGGAUGGGCCCGCGGCCUAUCAGCUUGUUGGUGGGGUGAUGGCCUACCAAGGCGACGACGGGUAGCCGGCCUGAGAGGGUGACCGGCCACACUGGGACUGAGAUACGGCCCAGACUCCUACGGGAGGCAGCAGUGGGGAAUAUUGCACAAUGGGCGCAAGCCUGAUGCAGCGACGCCGCGUGAGGGAUGACGGCCUCCGGGUUGUAAACCUCUUUCAGCACCGACGAAGCGCAAGUGACGGUAGGUGCAGAAGAAGGACCGGCCAACUACGAGCCAGCCGCCGCCGUAA
RNAcentral lists this ribosomal RNA (478 nucleotides) under uncultured bacterium. Its description in RNAcentral is "partial 16S ribosomal RNA". It matches the Rfam family "Bacterial small subunit ribosomal RNA", at positions 28 to 523 of the family's 1533-position model. The record is from RNAcentral.